CGGCAGCACGGGAGCAAUCCUGGUGGCGAGUGGCGAACGGGUGAGUAAAGUAUCGGAACGUGCCCAGUCGUGGGGGAUAACGUAGCGAAAGUUACGCUAAUACCGCAUACGAUCUAUGGAUGAAAGCGGGGGAUCGCAAGACCUCGCGCGAUUGGAGCGGCCGAUAUCAGAUUAGGUAGUUGGUGGGGUAAAGGCUCACCGAGCCGACGAUCUGUAGCUGGUCUGAGAGGACGACCAGCCACACUGGGACUGAGACACGGCCCAGACUCCUACGGGAGGCAGCAGUGGGGAAUUUUGGACAAUGGGCGCAAGCCUGAUCCAGCCAUGCCGCGUGCAGGAUGAAGGCCUUCGGGUUGUAAACUGCUUUUGUACGGAACGAAAAGGUUUGGCCUAAUACGCUGAACUCAUGACGGUACCGUAAGAAUAAGCACCGGCUAACUACGUGCCAGCAGCCGCGGUAAUACGUAGGGUGCGAGCGUUAAUCGGAAUUACUGGGCGUAAAGCGUGCGCAGGCGGUUAUGUAAGACAGAUGUGAAAUCCCCGGGCUCAACCUGGGAACUGCAUUAGUGACUGCAUAGCUGGAGUACGGCAGAGGGGGAUGGAAUUCCGCGUGUAGCAGUGAAAUGCGUAGAUAUGCGGAGGAACACCGAUGGCGAAGGCAAUCCCCUGGGCCUGUACUGACGCUCAUGCACGAAAGCGUGGGGAGCAAACAGGAUUAGA
RNAcentral lists this ribosomal RNA (720 nucleotides) under uncultured bacterium. Its description in RNAcentral is "bacterial SSU rRNA". It matches the Rfam family "Bacterial small subunit ribosomal RNA", at positions 67 to 782 of the family's 1533-position model. The record is from RNAcentral.